This is a non-coding RNA of Flavobacterium haoranii, 398 nucleotides long. It matches the Rfam family "transfer-messenger RNA". Rfam says of the family: Bacterial tmRNA, also known as 10Sa RNA or SsrA, is named for its dual tRNA and mRNA-like properties. The record is from Rfam. Lineage: Bacteria; Pseudomonadati; Bacteroidota; Flavobacteriia; Flavobacteriales; Flavobacteriaceae.
GGGGUCGACUGGUUUUGACAGCGAGUGAAAUUGAUUAGUAAGCACGUCGAGCCAAGUAUGGUAGGCUCGUAAAUAUCUGCUAUACGAACUUUAAACGGCGAAAAUAAUUACGCUUUAGCUGCUUAAUCUGAAUUAUAGUAAGAUUUGCCUAGUUCCUACGAGGUAGGAAAGCUAGAUUCUCCUCAAAAGCCUUGGUUUAUGGCGUUUGGUUUUGGGGAACCGUAAAAGUAAACCUAGAAGUGGUAAAGCUUUAAAUCCACUUUGACACUUGUAAAGCUAAGCUAAAAGUGACGGUUUUCAGUCUAGCUUUUAGUCGAAAAUCUAAGUGAAAACUAAGCGUGUAGAAAGCUCUUCGAUUGCUUGUUUGGACCCGAGUUCGAUUCUCGGCGACUCCACUA